Molecule: RNA transcript, 1983 nt
Organism: Abrus precatorius (Indian licorice)
Lineage: Eukaryota; Viridiplantae; Streptophyta; Magnoliopsida; Fabales; Fabaceae
Gene name: serine/arginine-rich splicing factor SC35
Exons: 10
Source: RefSeq, a predicted model, not a curated record
UAGAGGCGGAGGCAAAGUGAGUAUUCAAGAAGGUUCUGCGGGCAAUGCUUGACAGACAUCACAGACCCAAAAAAACCCAAACCCUAGCCUUAAUCCCUAAUCGCCAUUUCUCUUAUCUUUUUCUUUUUCUCUUUCACUUUCUCUGCAAACAAACAUGUCUCACUUCGGUAGGUCGGGUCCCCCAGACAUCUCCGACACUUACUCUCUUCUCGUUCUCAAUAUAACCUUCCGCACAACCGCUGAUGAUCUAUUCCCUCUAUUUGAUAAGUAUGGGAAGGUCGUGGACAUCUUCAUCCCCAAAGAUCGAAGGACUGGUGAGUCGAGGGGUUUUGCGUUCGUGCGUUACAAGUAUGCUGAUGAGGCUCAAAAGGCCGUUGAUAGGCUCGACGGAAGAAUGGUUGAUGGUCGUGAAAUAACGGUCCAGUUUGCAAAGUAUGGGCCUAAUGCUGAGAGGAUUCACAAAGGAAGGAUUAUUGAAACUACCCCAAGAUCAAGGUACCGGUCAAGGAGCCGCAGUCCUAAAAGAAGAUAUCGUGAUGAUUACAGAGACCGGGAUUACAGGAGGAGAAGUCGCAGCAGGAGCUAUGAUAGGUAUGAACGGGACAGGUACCGUGGGAGAGAUAGAGAUUCUCGUCGCCGAAGCAGGAGCCGGAGCACCAGUCUUGAUUACAAGGGUCGUGGUAGGGGACGCUAUGAUGAUGAGCAUCGUAGUAGAAGCAGAAGCAGAUCAGUGGAUAGCCGCUCCCCUGCACGUCGCAGUCCUAGUCCUCGAGGGAGUCCUUCCCCUCAGAGGAGUGUUUCCCCUCAAAGGAGUACUUCCCCCAGGAAAAGUCCACGACGCGAAAGUCCUGACAAUCGUAGCCGUGAUGGAAGGUCUCCUACACCUCGCAGUGUCUCACCAUGCGGUCGCCCUGAUGCUUCACGAAGCCCAUCCCCUCGAAAUUCAAAUGGUGAUGAAUAGCUAUGCUUUUCUUGAAAAUUCAGGAGACACAAGACACUUGCACCUGUAGCAGUUUUGCUAUUGUUCGAUCUUGUAGUCAAAUGUGAAUGGUCUUAUCAGAGUCAUUGAAGGAUUUUAUGAUCUAAGUGCUGUUUGUUAUGAUCGGGAAAAGUGAUGGGGGCCUGAUAGGCGCAUGUUGACAUUGUUGCUGUUGAUGCUGUUUCUAUGUCAUUGAUGAUUGGCCGUGAAUUUGAUGCUGAUUGCAAGAUAUGCUGUGGUUUUAGGACUGUGUUUUACCAGUGUGCUGGUUAGACAGACAAUUAGUUGACUUGGUUUUUUGCUGAAUGAUCUGAUCAUUGAGGGAUUCUUGAUGCGGUGAUGAACACAAGUUGAGCAUAUUUUGACAUGUAGCUGGUGCCUCCUAGGAGUUGGACCUGUCAUUUGUUGAUUCAGAUGCAGAUACUAAACAUAAAACUGUGGGUACUAAAUAUGAACUUAAAUGUGCUGGUGUUUAUUUCAAAUCACUGAGAAGGGGACAAUGGUAAUAGAUUCACGGUUACUUGUUUUAGGGUGUUUUAAUGGAUAAUUUUUAACAUUUGACCUUUCAAGAUUAUAACAUCUGCUACUUAAUGUAGUGAUAAACGUUUGUUGUAGCACCCUGCUCCAUGACACUGUAGCUGUGAGGUGGUUGCUGAUGCAUCUUUUGUAUGAAAUGCUUGUGUUCGUGAUUAAUUUGAAGCAUUAACCAAUUACUGUAGCUGACUGUUGCUGCCCUUUUUGCUGGGGUCGGGUUGGCAAUGGUAUUAGUGGUUGGCACUGAUGAUGGCUGUCUAGCUGUGCUGCUGAUUUAUGUUGAUUCCAAUGCCGCCUGAGUCCUGACAAAUCUUUUUCACUAUUAAGCUGGUGAUCGGUUUUGUUGAUUCAAUUUCAGUUAUUGGUUUAUUCUUAUGGGAUUAUUGCUGGUCAUUUGUUGCUAUGACACUGAUCACCAUUGCAAAGUGAUGUGGUUACUGUUUUGCAACUGAAAUAACAACCAAUGUGUU